Rattus norvegicus (Norway rat) is the source of this 904-nucleotide non-coding RNA. The record is from RefSeq and is a predicted model, not a curated record. Lineage: Eukaryota; Metazoa; Chordata; Mammalia; Rodentia; Muridae.
CUGAAAUAAAAUUGAAAAGAAUUUAAACUUGUUUUGUUUUCUAGUUCCUGGGAAUUAGAAAUUCUUGCUACACAUGAGUGCUGUGGUCCAGUCUCCUCCCCCUUAUUACUAAACAAAAGCAGAGCACAACAGAAAUAGAAACCAGUGCGGGAGUCUGCCCCCACUUCUUCCUUUGUAUCACAAUGCUUUUUUAAUUUUUUUUUUUUGUCAAAUCACAUCUUGGCGUAUUCAUCGUGAAUGUGUCUUCUUAGAGGCCUCAAAGAGACUGAAAGCAUGUGAAGGGUGUUCUAGUUAGGAGAAGGACCACGUGAGAUCUGCGUCUCUUUCAGCUCUUCUUAGCCCCAAGUCGGUGGGCUUACUCUGAAGUUGUCGACGGAAGGGUAAUAAAGCCAAGUGUGUGGCUUUAUCAGUGCUGACUGGACCAUUGUGCCACGGGAUGAGGACGCCUUGACCAAACUGCUCAAACCCUAUUUUACUUCCAAGAAGAUGAUGAACAUUGAAGAACCUUUGCAUGGAGUUUGCUUCUAUUUGACAAGCUAGCCACUUGGCAAGAAAUUGCCGUUGCUCCAACUGCUGACAGUAUACUAUCCAAACUGGACAAACAGUAUGCUGAGAAUUCAACUGCCAAGCUAUGCAAGGUUGUGGUGGUUUGAAUAUGCUCAGCUAGAGUAGGGGCGGCCUUGAUGAAGGAAGUGUCUUACUGAGAAGGAGGGCUUUGAGACUCUCUUCCUAGCUGUCUGGAAGAUAGUCUGUGCUCCUAGCUUCUUUUGAAUGAAGAUGUAGAACUCUCCAUUCCUCCAGCACCAUGUCUGACUGCACACUGCCAUGCUUUCUGCUAUGGCGAUAAUGGACUAAACCUCUGAAACUUUGAGCCAGUCCCAAUUAAAUGUUUGCCUUUAUAAAA